RNAcentral lists this ribosomal RNA (398 nucleotides) under uncultured Chlamydomonadales. RNAcentral describes it as "partial small subunit ribosomal RNA". It matches the Rfam family "Eukaryotic small subunit ribosomal RNA", at positions 30 to 432 of the family's 1831-position model. The record is from RNAcentral. Lineage: Eukaryota; Viridiplantae; Chlorophyta; Chlorophyceae; Chlamydomonadales.
GCUUGUCUCAAAGAUUAAGCCAUGCAUGUCUAAGUAUAAACUGCUUAUACUGUGAAACUGCGAAUGGCUCAUUAAAUCAGUUAUAGUUUAUUUGAUGGUACCUCUACUCGGAUAACCGUAGUAAUUCUAGAGCUAAUACGUGCGUAAAUCCCGACUUCUGGAAGGGACGUAUUUAUUAGAUAAAAGGCCAGCCGUCUCACGACGACCUGCGUUGACUCAUGAUAACUUCACGAAUCGCAUGGGCUUGCCCCGGCGAUGUUUCAUUCAAAUUUCUGCCCUAUCAACUUUCGAUGGUAGUGUAUUGGACUACCAUGGCAGUAACGGGUAACGAAGAAUUAGGGUUCGAUUUCGGAGAGGGAGCAUGAGAAACGGCUACCACAUCUAAGGAAGGCAGCAGG